UCCCAGCCUACAUCUUUCUCCCGUGCUGGAUGCUUCCUGUCAUCGAACAUCAGACUCCAAUCUUCAGUUUUGAGAUUUAGACUGGCUCUCCUUGCCUCUCAAGCUUGCAGACAGCCUAUUGUGGGACCUUGUGAUCAUCCUAUCAAUCAAGACCACAUCCUUUCAAAAGCUUAUAGAGCAGAAGUAGACUCCUACCACGCGUUCAGCUGGUGUCCUUUGACUGCUGCUUUGCUCAGUUCCACCUUGGAUGGCUUGCACUGCAUUUAACGGUUGGAAGUUAGACUUUUUGUAAAUCUACUCAUUUAUAUCAAGUUGAAGAGAGAUUUCCCUGAACACAGAAGAAGGAGGGCUUAUGAAGAUUCUUUUUUCUUUAUUUUCUCUUUUGUUUUGGUAAGUGGCCUUAAGGAAUCUAUAAUUCUUCAAAUUCCAUGGAAGAGAAACUUAACUAAAACAUUCAGCAUAUUUCUUCCAGUGAUUUCCCAAGUCAUCUGCUAUUUUGCUAAUAAAUAUCUUA
This 514-nucleotide long non-coding RNA is filed under the name Homo sapiens (human). Its description in RNAcentral is "HSALNT0308182". Lineage: Eukaryota; Metazoa; Chordata; Mammalia; Primates; Hominidae. The record is from RNAcentral.